RNAcentral lists this ribosomal RNA (253 nucleotides) under uncultured bacterium. Its description in RNAcentral is "partial 16S ribosomal RNA". It matches the Rfam family "Bacterial small subunit ribosomal RNA", at positions 524 to 776 of the family's 1533-position model. The record is from RNAcentral.
UACGGAGGGUGCAAGCGUUGCUCGGAAUCACUGGGCGUAAAGCGCACGUAGGCGGCCUGUUAAGUCGGGUGUGAAAUCCCUCGGCUCAACCGAGGAAGUGCAUUUGAAACUAGCAGGCUUGAGUAUGGAAGAGGGUCGUGGAAUUCCCGGUGUAGAGGUGAAAUUCGUAGAUAUCGGGAGGAACACCAGUGGCGAAGGCGGCGACCUGGGCCGAUACUGACGCUGAGGUGCGAAAGCGUGGGGAGCAAACAGG